AAGGAUCAUUACCGAGAGAGGGGCUUCGAGCCUCGGGGGGUUCAGCCCCCCAACUCUUCACCCGCUGCCUACCUACCUUCGUUGCUUUGACGGGCCUCGGGGGUUCGCCCCGCGUCGGUUCUUGGGCCGAUGAGCGCCCGUCAGAGACCAUUCAAAUCCUAUCUGAUAAGUGACGUCCGAGUAAGAAUACAUAAUAGCAAAAACUUUCAACAACGGAUCUCUUGGUUCCAGCAUCGAUGAAGAACGCAGCGAAAUGCGAUAAGUAAUGUGAAUUGCAGAAUUCAGUGAAUCAUCGAAUCUUUGAACGCACAUUGCGCCCCUCGGUAUUCCGGGGGGCAUGCCUGUUCGAGCGUCAUUGCACCCCUCAAGCGUAGCUUGGUAUUGGGUCCUCGCCCUCUUGGCGUGCCCGAAAAACAGUGGCGGUCCGGCGUGACUUUAAGCGUAGUAAUGUCCAUCCCGCUUUGAAGGUUCGCCCCGUGACCGGCCAGAUAACCCCAUUACUUUUAAUAAUUGACCUCGGAUCAGGUAGGGAUACCCGCUGAACUUAA
This 548-nucleotide ribosomal RNA is filed under the name Allantoparmelia alpicola. RNAcentral's name for it is "eukaryotic LSU rRNA". The stretch from base 202 to 355 matches the Rfam family "5.8S ribosomal RNA". Lineage: Eukaryota; Fungi; Ascomycota; Lecanoromycetes; Lecanorales; Parmeliaceae. The record is from RNAcentral.